RNAcentral lists this ribosomal RNA (471 nucleotides) under uncultured Desulfuromonas sp. RNAcentral's name for it is "bacterial SSU rRNA". It matches the Rfam family "Bacterial small subunit ribosomal RNA", at positions 916 to 1381 of the family's 1533-position model. The record is from RNAcentral. Lineage: Bacteria; Pseudomonadati; Thermodesulfobacteriota; Desulfuromonadia; Desulfuromonadales; Desulfuromonadaceae.
ACGGGGCCCGCACAAGCGGUGGAGCAUGUGGUUUAAUUCGACGCAACGCGCAGAACCUUACCGGGGCUUGACAUCCCGAUCGCAUCCCAUGGAAACAUGGGAGUCAGUUCGGCUGGAUCGGUGACAGGUGCUGCAUGGCUGUCGUCAGCUCGUGUCGUGAGAUGUUGGGUUAAGUCCCGCAACGAGCGCAACCCUUGUCCUUAGUUGCCAGCAUUCAGUUGGGCACUCUAAGGAGACUGCCGGUGUUAAACCGGAGGAAGGUGGGGAUGACGUCAAGUCCUCAUGGCCCUUAUGUCCAGGGCUACACACGUGCUACAAUGGCCGGUACAAAGGGCUGCAAGACCGUGAGGUUGAGCGAAUCCCAGAAAGCCGGUCUCAGUUCGGAUUGGAGUCUGCAACUCGACUCCAUGAAGUUGGAAUCGCUAGUAAUCGCGGAUCAGCAUGCCGCGGUCGAAUACGUUCCCGGGCCUU